GUGAGCGAGGACACACUCGUGCGUGGCGAGUGAAGUGUGACGAAAAAAAAAUAUUUAAUGAAAAAAGUAACAAAAUACAAAAUUCGAUUUUUCAAAUGGUUUUAAAUUAAUUAAAAAUAAAUUUUCCUAAGCAUAAAAGUGUCUGCAAAUAAGCUAAAUAAGCAGAAUUUGAGUUUCAUGUGCCACACAAAAACCAAAAAAAAAAACGAGUGACUACCCAGGCUGGUAGACGCCAGGUCGUAUAAGCAACCAAACAAAGAAACAAAAACUGAGUUUUCCGCCAGUGCAUCGCUGUCUAAGUAUUAGUGGCGCCACUACAGCACAUAUAUGCAUAUGCCACAAUUGUAGUGACUGUCGGUGGAAUGCGCAUAGAGUUGCCAACUAGUAUUUGUUUUUCGCGCUACCAGAGCUGCCGGAGCCGCCACAUACACUUCAUGCCGAGGCGCAUCGUAUUUUGAAAGUCGAAAGACCAACACAAAAAUGUGGCUGUAUCUAUUUUUUUAUCUAUCAUUUAAGCCAACACCUAAACGCAAUCGUGUGUCGUUGGCCGUGGCUAAGACGAAUAGGCGCACAGCAAAGUGUAGCAAGCAACUAACAAAACGGCAAACAAGCAAGCCAAGCAGCUAGCAGCCAACAUUCGACAGCCCACCAAAGUAGCCCACAAAUUGUGGCGCGACUUGGGGAAAACUCAUCAAAACAACAACAAAAACAAAACAAAUGAAAAACACACAAAAGGCAGCAACAACAACUAGAAAUGGCUACAAAUGCGCCAACAACAAAGGCGAAAAACAAAAUAGAGGCAGGCAGGCAGCCAGCUAACUUGAUAGCCAGCUAUUUGGGGGCCCCGAGCGCAACAUGCAUACAUACAUAUGUCUUGAUUUGGGAGUAACGCUGCCAACGACGCCGCAGCGCUAUUGAGACUCUUUGUGCACGCCUCUGCCAGUGCUCAGCUGUUGGUCAAUACGCUCGCACACUCAUUCCCGUCAGUUGGUAAAGGCUGAAAAAGCUACAGCGCGGUGCUUGUGAUUUGCUAGCGAGCUGGUGCGCGGUGAUAUUUAGUACAGAGAAAAGCACGCGAUUGCGAUUAACGGGUGAAAAUUAAUUUCGUAUUCCAAUUAUAUAUAUAUCUUCUUUUUUUUGCGAGGAAGCGAAUGAAGUAAUACUUUUCUGUAUCCGAAUAGAAUAAGUAACCACAUAUAAGAGAAAAACAUAAAUAAAAGAAAUUAUUUUGUGAAAAAGCAAGUGUUGAAAAAUAAGAAAAUUUUGUUUCAUAGACAACGCAAUUUAUUCAACGUCUAGCAAAAAAACGAGCAAUCAAUACAACAUCCCCGACGCUAUAAACUCUCUUCCCACAACGCCUACACCCACAAAAGUUGGCGGCGUAUAAUAUCAGCAACCUGUGGUACUAAAUUUAAAAUAAAUUUGUACAAAGCAAAAACAGUUAAUGCAAUAAUAAAAUAGCCAAACAAAAU
Long non-coding RNA from Rhagoletis pomonella (apple maggot), 1472 nucleotides. RefSeq lists it as uncharacterized. Lineage: Eukaryota; Metazoa; Arthropoda; Insecta; Diptera; Tephritidae. The record is from RefSeq and is a predicted model, not a curated record. The transcript is spliced from 3 exons.